Molecule: ribosomal RNA, 2987 nt
Filed under: Salmonella enterica subsp. enterica
Lineage: Bacteria; Pseudomonadati; Pseudomonadota; Gammaproteobacteria; Enterobacterales; Enterobacteriaceae
Also listed under: 1 other name
Description: bacterial LSU rRNA
Rfam family: Bacterial large subunit ribosomal RNA
Source: RNAcentral
UUAAGCGACUAAGCGUACACGGUGGAUGCCCUGGCAGUCAGAGGCGAUGAAGGGCGUGCUAAUCUGCGAUAAGCGCCGGUAAGGUGAUAUGAACCGUUAUAACCGGCGAUACCCGAAUGGGGAAACCCAGUGUGACUCGUCACACUAUCAUUAACUGAAUCCAUAGGUUAAUGAGGCGAACCGGGGGAACUGAAACAUCUAAGUACCCCGAGGAAAAGAAAUCAACCGAGAUUCCCCCAGUAGCGGCGAGCGAACGGGGAGGAGCCCAGAGCCUGAAUCAGCAUGUGUGUUAGUGGAAGCGUCUGGAAAGGCGCGCGAUACAGGGUGACAGCCCCGUACACAAAAGCGCAUGUGCUGUGAGCUCGAUGAGUAGGGCGGGACACGUGGUAUCCUGUCUGAAUAUGGGGGGACCAUCCUCCAAGGCUAAAUACUCCUGACUGACCGAUAGUGAACCAGUACCGUGAGGGAAAGGCGAAAAGAACCCCGGCGAGGGGAGUGAAAAAGAACCUGAAACCGUGUACGUACAAGCAGUGGGAGCACAGGUUUACCUGUGUGACUGCGUACCUUUUGUAUAAUGGGUCAGCGACUUAUAUUCUGUAGCAAGGUUAACCGUAUAGGGGAGCCGGAGGGAAACCGAGUCUUAACCGGGCGUUAAGUUGCAGGGUAUAGACCCGAAACCCGGUGAUCUAGCCAUGGGCAGGUUGAAGGUUGGGUAACACUAACUGGAGGACCGAACCGACUAAUGUUGAAAAAUUAGCGGAUGACCUGUGGCUGGGGGUGAAAGGCCAAUCAAACCGGGAGAUAGCUGGUUCUCCCCGAAAGCUAUUUAGGUAGCGCCUCGUGAAUUCAUCUCCGGGGGUAGAGCACUGUUUCGGCUAGGGGGCCAUCCCGGCUUACCAACCCGAUGCAAACUGCGAAUACCGGAGAAUGUUAUCACGGGAGACACACGGCGGGUGCUAACGUCCGUCGUGAAGAGGGAAACAACCCAGACCGCCAGCUAAGGUCCCAAAGUCAUGGUUAAGUGGGAAACGAUGUGGGAAGGCCCAGACAGCCAGGAUGUUGGCUUAGAAGCAGCCAUCAUUUAAAGAAAGCGUAAUAGCUCACUGGUCGAGUCGGUCUGCGCGGAAGAUGUAACGGGGCUAAACCAUGCACCGAAGCUGCGGCAGCGAACGUAUCACUUAAAGUGAUUCAGCGGGUUACGAUUGACGGAGCGAAGCGACGUCAAAGCGUAUACAAAGUCGAGUCGGUUUAAGGAUACGUUCGUUGGGUAGGGGAGCGUUCUGUAAGCCUGCGAAGGUGGCCUGUGAGGGUUGCUGGAGGUAUCAGAAGUGCGAAUGCUGACAUAAGUAACGAUAAAGCGGGUGAAAAGCCCGCUCGCCGGAAGACCAAGGGUUCCUGUCCAACGUUAAUCGGGGCAGGGUGAGUCGACCCCUAAGGCGAGGCCGAAAGGCGUAGUCGAUGGGAAACGGGUUAAUAUUCCCGUACUUGGUGUUACUGCGAAGGGGGGACGGAGAAGGCUAUGUUGGCCGGGCGACGGUUGUCCCGGUUUAAGCGUGUAGGUGUGUGUUCCAGGUAAAUCCGGUUCACUUUAACACUGAGGCGUGACGACGAGGCACUACGGUGCUGAAGCAACAAAUGCCCUGCUUCCAGGAAAAGCCUCUAAGCAUCAGGUAACAUCAAAUCGUACCCCAAACCGACACAGGUGGUCAGGUAGAGAAUACCAAGGCGCUUGAGAGAACUCGGGUGAAGGAACUAGGCAAAAUGGUGCCGUAACUUCGGGAGAAGGCACGCUGACACGUAGGUGAAGUGAUUUACUCAUGGAGCUGAAGUCAGUCGAAGAUACCAGCUGGCUGCAACUGUUUAUUAAAAACACAGCACUGUGCAAACACGAAAGUGGACGUAUACGGUGUGACGCCUGCCCGGUGCCGGAAGGUUAAUUGAUGGGGUCAGCGCAAGCGAAGCUCCUGAUCGAAGCCCCGGUAAACGGCGGCCGUAACUAUAACGGUCCUAAGGUAGCGAAAUUCCUUGUCGGGUAAGUUCCGACCUGCACGAAUGGCGUAAUGAUGGCCAGGCUGUCUCCACCCGAGACUCAGUGAAAUUGAACUCGCUGUGAAGAUGCAGUGUACCCGCGGCAAGACGGAAAGACCCCGUGAACCUUUACUAUAGCUUGACACUGAACAUUGAGCCUUGAUGUGUAGGAUAGGUGGGAGGCUUUGAAGUGUGGACGCCAGUCUGCAUGGAGCCGACCUUGAAAUACCACCCUUUAAUGUUUGAUGUUCUAACGUGGACCCGUGAUCCGGGUUGCGGACAGUGUCUGGUGGGUAGUUUGACUGGGGCGGUCUCCUCCUAAAGAGUAACGGAGGAGCACGAAGGUUGGCUAAUCCUGGUCGGACAUCAGGAGGUUAGUGCAAUGGCAUAAGCCAGCUUGACUGCGAGCGUGACGGCGCGAGCAGGUGCGAAAGCAGGUCAUAGUGAUCCGGUGGUUCUGAAUGGAAGGGCCAUCGCUCAACGGAUAAAAGGUACUCCGGGGAUAACAGGCUGAUACCGCCCAAGAGUUCAUAUCGACGGCGGUGUUUGGCACCUCGAUGUCGGCUCAUCACAUCCUGGGGCUGAAGUAGGUCCCAAGGGUAUGGCUGUUCGCCAUUUAAAGUGGUACGCGAGCUGGGUUUAGAACGUCGUGAGACAGUUCGGUCCCUAUCUGCCGUGGGCGCUGGAGAACUGAGGGGGGCUGCUCCUAGUACGAGAGGACCGGAGUGGACGCAUCACUGGUGUUCGGGUUGUCAUGCCAAUGGCACUGCCCGGUAGCUAAAUGCGGAAGAGAUAAGUGCUGAAAGCAUCUAAGCACGAAACUUGCCCCGAGAUGAGUUCUCCCUGAGACUUAAAGUCUCCUGAAGGAACGUUGAAGACGACGACGUUGAUAGGCCGGGUGUGUAAGCGCAGCGAUGCGUUGAGCUAACCGGUACUAAUGAACCGUGAGGCUUAACCUU